Molecule: transfer RNA, 83 nt
Filed under: Propionicimonas sp.
Lineage: Bacteria; Bacillati; Actinomycetota; Actinomycetes; Propionibacteriales; Nocardioidaceae
Also listed under: 1 other name
Description: tRNA-Leu
Rfam family: tRNA
About the family: Transfer RNA (tRNA) molecules are approximately 80 nucleotides in length.
Source: RNAcentral
GCCCGAGUGGCGGAAUGGCAGACGCGGGCGACUCAAAAUCGUCAGUCCGAAAGGACGUGGGGGUUCGACUCCCCCCUCGGGCA